RNAcentral lists this ribosomal RNA (254 nucleotides) under uncultured bacterium. Its description in RNAcentral is "partial 16S ribosomal RNA". It matches the Rfam family "Bacterial small subunit ribosomal RNA", at positions 524 to 776 of the family's 1533-position model. The record is from RNAcentral.
UACGGAGGGUGCAAGCGUUAUCCGGAAUCACUGGGUUUAAAGGGUGCGUAGGCGGUCUGAUAAGUCAGUCGUGAAAUCGCUGGGCUCAACCCAUGCAACUGCGAUUGAUACUGUGAGACUUGAAUCAGGUUGAGGUAGGCGGAAUGUGGCAUGUAGCGGUGAAAUGCUUAGAUAUGCCAUAGAACACCGAUUGCGAAGGCAGCUUGCUGGGCCUGAAUUGACGCUGAGGCACGAAAGCGUGGGGAGCAAACAGG